GAUGAAGAACGUAGCGAAAUGCGAUAAUUAAUGUGAAUUGCAGAAUUUAGUGAAUCAUCGAGUCUUUGAACGCACAUUGCGCCCCCUGGUAUUCCGGGGGGCAUGCCUGUCCGAGCGUCAUUGCUGCCCUCAAGCACGGCUUGUGUGUUGGGCCUCCGUCCUCCUCCCGGGGGACGGGCCCGAAAGGCAGCGGCGGCACCGCGUCCGGUCCUCGAGCGUAUGGGGCUUCGUCACCCGCUCUUGUAGGCCCGGCCGGCGCUUGCCGACACAUCAAUCUUUUUUCCAGGUUGACCUCGGAUCAGGUAGGGAUACCCGCUGAACUUAAGCAUAUCAAUAAGCGGAGGA
RNAcentral lists this unclassified non-coding RNA (345 nucleotides) under soil metagenome. Its description in RNAcentral is "partial contains 5.8S ribosomal RNA, internal transcribed spacer 2, and large subunit ribosomal RNA". The stretch from base 1 to 120 matches the Rfam family "5.8S ribosomal RNA", at positions 35 to 154 of the family's 154-position model. The record is from RNAcentral.